AUUGUAGUCUGCAACCCGACUACAUGAAGCUGGAAUCGCUAGUAAUCGCGAAUCAGAAUGUCGCGGUGAAUACGUUCCCGGGUCUUGUACACACCGCCCGUCACACAUGGGAGUCGGAAAUGCCCGAAGUCAGUGACCUAACCGAAAGGGAGGAGCUGCCGAAGGUGGAGCCGGUAACUGGGGUGAAGUCGUAACAAGGUACC
This 203-nucleotide ribosomal RNA is filed under the name uncultured bacterium. RNAcentral's name for it is "partial 16S ribosomal RNA". It matches the Rfam family "Bacterial small subunit ribosomal RNA", at positions 1297 to 1500 of the family's 1533-position model. The record is from RNAcentral.